This 482-nucleotide ribosomal RNA is filed under the name uncultured soil bacterium. Its description in RNAcentral is "bacterial SSU rRNA". It matches the Rfam family "Bacterial small subunit ribosomal RNA", at positions 26 to 505 of the family's 1533-position model. The record is from RNAcentral.
AGAUUGAACGCUGGCGGCAUGCCUUACACAUGCAAGUCGAACGGCAGCACGGGGGCAACCCUGGUGGCGAGUGGCGAACGGGUGAGUAAUACAUCGGAACGUAUCCUGUUGUGGGGGAUAACUAGUCGAAAGAUUAGCUAAUACCGCAUGACCUCGGAAGAGAAAAGCAGGGGACCUGGAGACGGGCCUUGCGCGAUUGGAGCGGCCGAUGUCCGAUUAGCUAGUUGGUGGGGUAAAGGCCUACCAAGGCGACGAUCGGUAGCUGGUCUGAGAGGAUGAUCAGCCACACUGGGACUGAGACACGGCCCAGACUCCUACGGGAGCAGCAGUGGGAAUUUUGGACAAUGGGGGCAACCCUGAUCCAGCCAUGCCGCGUGAGUGAAGAGGCCGUUGGUGUAAAGUCGUCUUUCGGUGGGAACGAAACGGUGGAAGUGUACAAUACCAUCCACUCCUGACGUACACAGAGAAGCACGCUAACUACG